RNAcentral lists this ribosomal RNA (405 nucleotides) under uncultured bacterium. Its description in RNAcentral is "bacterial SSU rRNA". It matches the Rfam family "Bacterial small subunit ribosomal RNA", at positions 354 to 776 of the family's 1533-position model. RNAcentral also lists the same sequence under 1 other name. The record is from RNAcentral.
GUAGGGAAUAUUGCUCAAUGGGGGAAACCCUGAAGCAGCAACGCCGCGUGGAGGAUGAAGGUUUUAGGAUUGUAAACUCCUUUUGUGAGAGAAGAUAAUGACGGUAUCUCACGAAUAAGCACCGGCUAACUCCGUGCCAGCAGCCGCGGUAAUACGGAGGGUGCAAGCGUUACUCGGAAUCACUGGGCGUAAAGAGUGCGCAGGCGGGCUUGUAAGUCAGAUGUGAAAUCCUGUAGCUUAACUACAGAACUGCAUUUGAAACUAUGAGUCUAGAGUGUGGGAGAGGUAGGUGGAAUUCUUGGUGUAGGGGUAAAAUCCGUAGAUAUCAAGAGGAAUACUCAUUGCGAAGGCGACCUACUGGAACAUUACUGACGCUCAUGCACGAAAGCGUGGGGAGCAAACAGG